GCCUCUGUCGCUCAGUUGGUUAGAGCGCUGCACCGGAAUCGCAGGGCCGUAGGUUCAAUUCCUACCAGAGGAC
Molecule: transfer RNA, 73 nt
Filed under: Paramuricea clavata
Lineage: Eukaryota; Metazoa; Cnidaria; Anthozoa; Malacalcyonacea; Plexauridae
Rfam family: tRNA
About the family: Transfer RNA (tRNA) molecules are approximately 80 nucleotides in length. Their secondary structure includes four short double-helical elements and three loops (D, anti-codon, and T loops). Further hydrogen bonds mediate the characteristic L-shaped molecular structure. tRNAs have two regions of fundamental functional importance: the anti-codon, which is responsible for specific mRNA codon recognition, and the 3' end, to which the tRNAs corresponding amino acid is attached (by aminoacyl-tRNA synthetases). tRNAs cope with the degeneracy of the genetic code in two manners: having more than one tRNA (with a specific anti-codon) for a particular amino acid; and 'wobble' base-pairing, i.e. permitting non-standard base-pairing at the 3rd anti-codon position.
Source: Rfam by way of RNAcentral